This 253-nucleotide ribosomal RNA is filed under the name uncultured bacterium. RNAcentral describes it as "partial 16S ribosomal RNA". It matches the Rfam family "Bacterial small subunit ribosomal RNA", at positions 524 to 776 of the family's 1533-position model. The record is from RNAcentral.
UACGUAGGGGGCAAGCGUUGUCCGGAAUCAUUGGGCGUAAAGGGCGUGCAGGCGGUUUGUUAAGUGCAGGGUGAAAGCUCCCGGCUCAACUGGGAGAGGUCCUUGCAUACUGGCAAACUCGAGGGAGGCAGAGGAAAGUGGAAUUCCCGGUGUAGUGGUGAUAUGCGUAGAUAUCGGGAGGAACACCUGUGGCGAAGGCGGCUUUCUGGGCCUUACCUGACGCUGAGACGCGAAAGCGUGGGGAGCGAACCGG